This 210-nucleotide long non-coding RNA is filed under the name Bos taurus (domestic cattle). RNAcentral describes it as "long non-coding RNA NONBTAT017558". The record is from RNAcentral. Lineage: Eukaryota; Metazoa; Chordata; Mammalia; Artiodactyla; Bovidae.
UGUGCUGUGACGAAUGCAAGAAAGGACACUGAGAAUUAGACACCGGGUCUUUACUGCUGUCCGAUGCGACGGGGGAGUGGGGAACCCCUGGAAAGAUCACCACCUGCACUGGAGCUGGGGUUUCUCGUCUGUUAAAUUAGAGAGUCAAACAAGAGAAUCUCUUCAGUCCUGUUAAUUAAAGAGAUGCUGGUUUAUUCAUCCCCCACCCCC